CCUACGGGAGGCUGCAGUGAGGAAUAUUGGUCAAUGGCCGUAAGGCUGAACCAGCCAAGUAGCGUGAGGGAAGACUGCCCUAUGGGUUGUAAACCUCUUUUAUGCGGGGAUAAAGGUGUCUACGUGUGGAUGUUUGCAGGUACCGCAUGAUUAAGGACGGGCUAAUUCCGCGCCAGCAGCCGCGGUAAUACGGAAGGUCCGGGCGUUAUCCGGAUUUAUUGGGCUUAAAGGGUGCGUAGGACGGUCUUUAAGCGUGCCGUGAAAUUUUGUGGCUCAACCAUGGGAGUGCGGUGCAAACUGGGGAGCUUGAGUGCGGGGGAGGCAGGCGGAAUGCGUGGUGUAGCGGUGAAAUGCUUAGAUAUCACGAAGAACCCCGAUUGCGAAGGCAGCCUGCCGCAGCGUAACUGACGCUGAGGCUCGAAAGCGCGGGUAUCGAACAGGAUUAGAUACCCCAGUAGUC
RNAcentral lists this ribosomal RNA (460 nucleotides) under uncultured bacterium. Its description in RNAcentral is "partial 16S ribosomal RNA". It matches the Rfam family "Bacterial small subunit ribosomal RNA", at positions 338 to 795 of the family's 1533-position model. The record is from RNAcentral.